CGCCCCAUAGAUCUGAGGUUCCCACUCACCAAAAGGCGGCGCCGUUGCGGCAGUUCUCCAUGCGGGAUGGGGAGGGGGGGUCCUCGUCUGUGGGGCAGAAAUGGGAUCUGUGCGGCGCUACAGGGCGCUAUGGGGCUCUAUGGGGUCCCUGUGGGUUUCUAUGGGUCUCUAUGAGUUCCUAUGGGGUCUCUAUGGGGUCCCUACGGGUUUCUAUGGGUCCCAUAGGUUUCUAUGGGCCUCCCUGGGGUCUCUAUGGGUCCCUAUAGGUCACUGUGUGUUCCUAUGGGGUCUCGAUGGGGUCUCCAUGGGGUCCCUACGGGUUUCUAUGGGUCCCCAUAGGUUUCUAUGGGCCUCCGUGGGGUCUCCAUGGGGUCUCUAGGGGUUGCUAUGGGUCUCUGUGGGUCCCAGUGGAGCCCUCUGAAUCUCCACGGACCUCUGUGUGUCCCUAUGGGGUCCCCACGCGUCCCCACGGACCCCUUCGGCUCCCCGCUCACCGCCUCCAUCGCUGUCCGCCAUCGCUGCCGGCUGCGGGAAAAGUCACGUGACCGCGGCACGACGUGACCGCCGCAGCGAACGCGCAUGCACCGUUCCCACCGUUUCCGGUCACCGUGAUUGCUGCCUCGCUGACGGCGCACUUCCGCCUCUCUACCCACAAUGCCCCGCUCUCGAACGGAAAUGGCCAGCCCGGAAGUUAUCGCCAUUUCCCGUCCUGCUCCCACUGCCACAAUGAUGAUUUAGUUCCGCCUCGUUACCCACAAUCCUCCGCGCUCUCACGGAAAUGGUUAACUCGGAAAUUCCCGCCUUUUCCGCCGCUCGUAUCCGCUGCCUCGCUAACGGUGUACGUGUGCCUCGCUACCCACAAUCCCUCGCGCUUAAACGGAAACGGUUUGCCUCGGAAGUUUCCGCUAUUUCCGGUCCUACUCCCAUUGCCUCACUAGUUAUCUACUUCCGCCCCGCUACCCACAAUCCCUCGCGCAUAAACGGAAAUGGAUCGCCCGGAAGUUCCCACCAUAUCCGGUCCUACCCCCGUCGCCUCGCUAAAGACCCACUUCCGCCUCGUUACCCACAACCCUCCGCGCGCUCCCGGAAACGACCAUCCCGGAAGUUCCCGCCUUCUCCGGCACCGAUCCGAGCUCCGAUUGGCCGAGCUGUCCCGGGCGGGCGGAAGCGGCACCAUGGCGGAUCUGGAGCUGAGCGCCGAGGCGCUGCGGGAGCGGCUGAGGAAGGAGCUGGGAGCCGAGCACGUGGAAGUUGAGGACACGGCGGCGUCGCGCUGCGCCUGCAGCUUCCGGGUCCUGGUGGUGGCGGCGGCGUUCAGAGGAAUGGGGCUGCUGCAGAGACACCGGUAUGGGGUGACCUCAUAAAGACCCCAUAGGGAAUCCCAUAGAAUCCCCAUAGAGAUGCAAUAGGAACCCAUAGAGACCCAGUAAGGACCCAUAGAAACCCCAUAGAUGCCCACAGAGAUUCAUAGAGACCCAUAGGGACCCACAGUCCCACACCUCUCUCCCUGCACCCCACAGCCCCCCCCAAGCCCCAUAGACCCCCCC
This is a long non-coding RNA of Chrysolophus pictus (golden pheasant), 1547 nucleotides long. NCBI's taxonomy places the organism in Eukaryota, Metazoa, Chordata, Aves, Galliformes, Phasianidae. The record is from Ensembl.